RNAcentral lists this ribosomal RNA (496 nucleotides) under uncultured bacterium. Its description in RNAcentral is "partial 16S ribosomal RNA". It matches the Rfam family "Bacterial small subunit ribosomal RNA", at positions 28 to 506 of the family's 1533-position model. The record is from RNAcentral.
GAUGAACGCUGGCGGCGUGCCUAAUACAUGCAAGUCGAGCGAACAGGCGAGGAGCUUGCUCCUCUGACGUUAGCGGCGGACGGGUGAGUAACACGUGGAUAACCUACCUAUAAGACUGGGAUAACUUCGGGAAACCGGAGCUAAUACCGGAUAAUAUAUUGAACCGCAUGGUUCAAUAGUGAAAGACGGUUUUGCUGUCACUUAUAGAUGGAUCCGCGCCGCAUUAGCUAGUUGGUAAGGUAACGGCUUACCAAGGCAACGAUGCGUAGCCGACCUGAGAGGGUGAUCGGCCACACUGGAACUGAGACACGGUCCAGACUCCUACGGGAGGCAGCAGUAGGGAAUCUUCCGCAAUGGGCGAAAGCCUGACGGAGCAACGCCGCGUGAGUGAUGAAGGUCUUCGGAUCGUAAAACUCUGUUAUUAGGGAAGAACAAAUGUGUAAGUAACUAUGCACGUCUUGACGGUACCUAAGCAGAAAGCCACGGCUAACUACGU